CCUGUUAUCGUCUAGUGGUUAGGACACCAGGUUCUGAUGUCCUGACUUUCCUGGGAACCCCGGUUCAAACCCGGGUAACAGGU
RNAcentral lists this transfer RNA (83 nucleotides) under Melampsora larici-populina 98AG31. Its description in RNAcentral is "tRNA-Gln for anticodon CUG". It matches the Rfam family "tRNA". Rfam says of the family: Transfer RNA (tRNA) molecules are approximately 80 nucleotides in length. Their secondary structure includes four short double-helical elements and three loops (D, anti-codon, and T loops). The record is from Rfam by way of RNAcentral. Lineage: Eukaryota; Fungi; Basidiomycota; Pucciniomycetes; Pucciniales; Melampsoraceae.